GACGAACGCUGGCGGCGUGCUUAACACAUGCAAGUCGAACGAUGAAGCCUUCGGGUGGAUUAGUGGCGAACGGGUGAGUAACACGUGGGUGAUCUGCCCUGCACUUUGGGAUAAGCCUGGGAAACUGGGUCUAAUACCGAAUAUGACCAUGCUCUUCAUGGGGUGUGGUGGAAAGCUUUUGCGGUGUGGGAUGGGCCCGCGGCCUAUCAGCUUGUUGGUGGGGUAAUGGCCUACCAAGGCGACGACGGGUAGCCGGCCUGAGAGGGUGACCGGCCACACUGGGACUGAGAUACGGCCCAGACUCCUACGGGAGGCAGCAGUGGGGAAUAUUGCACAAUGGGCGCAAGCCUGAUGCAGCGACGCCGCGUGAGGGAUGACGGCCUUCGGGUUGUAAACCUCUUUCAGCAGGGACGAAGCGAAAGUGACGGUACCUGCAGAAGAAGGACCGGCCAACUACGUGCCAGCAGCCGCGGUAA
This 476-nucleotide ribosomal RNA is filed under the name uncultured bacterium. Its description in RNAcentral is "partial 16S ribosomal RNA". It matches the Rfam family "Bacterial small subunit ribosomal RNA", at positions 28 to 523 of the family's 1533-position model. The record is from RNAcentral.